This 21-nucleotide transfer RNA is filed under the name Polistes metricus. RNAcentral describes it as "partial tRNA-Leu". Lineage: Eukaryota; Metazoa; Arthropoda; Insecta; Hymenoptera; Vespidae. The record is from RNAcentral.
UUUUUAAAUCUUUUUUUAUAA